This is an RNA transcript of Carcharodon carcharias (great white shark), 5718 nucleotides long. It is a transcript of the gene named cleavage and polyadenylation specificity factor subunit 6-like, with no coding region annotated. The transcript has 11 exons. The record is from RefSeq and is a predicted model, not a curated record. Lineage: Eukaryota; Metazoa; Chordata; Chondrichthyes; Lamniformes; Lamnidae.
AGUAGUAGCGGUUCCUGUUGAGGGGAAGGGAAAGUUGCGUCUGUUAAAUAAACGUCUGUCACCAGCUUCGUGGACCUUACCUCUCACAUCCUUCCCUCAAUGCACGGGAGAGUGAAAACAUCGCCAUUAUUUUUCUUUCCAACACUGUCUCCUUGUACUCUUUCACCUGUUGCCCGUCGAGAAGUUGCGUCAAUCGGAUAAAGGGGAUGGCUUGUCCACCUUCUGACGUCCAACCCCAGAACAGACAGGAGACCUCCUCAAUAACAAUAACUGGAAGGACGAAUUUUCUCAACGAAGAGCACAAGUUGAGAACCAGAAAGGGAAAAAAGAAAGUGGACAUAGUGUUGAAGAUGCUGGAAAUCUGAAAUAAAAACAGAAAUGCUGGACAUACUCAGCAGGUCAGGUUGUGGAGAGAAACAAAAUCACCACUUCAGGCUGAUGAACCUUGAGAAGCAAAAUAUCGCUCACAUUGCGGCCGCCUCUACAGUGGGAAGACCAAACAGCUGGAAAAUGAAAAUCAGGUCCAGAUGGAUUUAUAUGAUGAUUUGAUUAAUGAUAUAAUAGGGGUAAACAAUGGGUUAAAGCCUGAAAUGGACAAUUCAGAGCGCUCAUCAAACACUGCAAUUGUCCCAACUACUGCUGUUCCAAAUAAAGCUGACCCUUCUAAAUAUUGCGUUCCGGAUAAGACUAAUACACCAAUUUAUAAAAGGAAGGCUAUGUUGAUUGGAAAUCUGACAUGGUGGACAACUGUUGAUGACUUAUUAGCUGCCAUUCAUUCUACUGGAAUAUAUAAUGUUGAUGAAAUCAAAUUUUAUGAAGUUGCAAAAGGUGGUCAAUCGAAAGGGUUUGUUAGUGUGAAAUUGUUUUCUGAUUGUGACGUACAAAGACUGUUCAGAACUCUUCCAAAGAAGGAAGUUCAUGGAAGGACCCCGGAUGUUCGGCACUUUACUGCAGCAAAUUACCAGUAUUUUGAAACGCAGUUCAUAAAUGCAAUGGAAAAAUCGAAGUUGCAUUCGGCAAAGAGUGAUAUAUUUGAUCCUGAUGUAAAUUGCAAACAAUUUGCAUUUGACCCUUUAGAAGAAGGAUAUCCAGCAUCAAUUCCAUGGCAGAUCCAGCAGAAGUUUUCACCACAUAUAAAUCUUCGUUCACUGACAACGGAUGAAACCAUUCCACCUUUUCCACCUUUCCCACAGCCACCAGUUAGACCACUCACUUCAGCUGUUGAAACUAAACUCCAGCAUGGUUCUGCACCAUUUUCUCCCAAUUUAUUGUUACCAUACUUAACUUCAUUGGCAGCACCACCUACGAACAUCCCAGAACCAGUUCUUAGUGUGUUUCCCAAGUUUUUCUUUCAAUACUUAACUUCAUUGGUAGUACCACCUCUGAACAUCCCAGGUCCAGUUCUUGGUGCAUUUCCCAAUUUUUUCUUACGGAGCUUAACUUCAUUGUCAGUACCACCUGCGAACAUUCCAGCUUCAGUUCUUAGUGGACAUGGACAAAGUCAGACAUCGCAAGUUACUUGUGUUGAUCCUGUGACAUUAAUAACACCAAGCACGAGUCUUUCUAUCUUGGACAGUAAUACAACGACUCCUGUGUACAGUACAUGCUAUAAGGAUUGCGGAUUACCAGGAAGUGAAACAGAUUUUCAAGAAACACCGCAAAGCAAGAAGGAGCCUAUAAAAGAACUUGAUAGCAAAGGAGCUUUUUCCACCAAUGAUCAGAGCAAAGAUGAUGGUUCAGAAGAUUAUGGGACCCUACUUCGGCUUGUUUCUUUUGUUAAAAAAUCUAAAGCAAUCGCACAAGACAGUUUCAAGGAUUCAAACUGUUCUCCAAAUCAGAGUCAUGGUGGAGAGAGCAAACGCUCAGGAUUACGAGAGCAUGAAUAUCCUAGACACAGAGAAAAUUGGAGAUCUAAAGAGAGAAGUGGGUCACUGCGAGAUCGUUCCAGAAGUCCAAGUUCCUGUGAUAGUCAUUAUCAAAAGAAAAAAAUGGAUUAUGAUCAAAAGAGACAGCAGAGCCAUCAAAGAAGUCACCUUGAAAAUUCUUCUCGGAUAGAACAUCAUUCGGACAGAAGCCGAAAAAGAGACAACUUUGACCGAGAAAGGCCUUGUGAAUCCAAGAGGUAUCACUCUAGAAAUAGUGAUCCUUGGCAUAUUUAUUCUGAAAAGAGUGGAAAAGGACACAAUUACAGUCAAGAAAAAUAUUGUAGAAUAAAACAAAAAAAGGACAGAGAGUACCAUUUUUAAUGGUAUGUGUGUUGAUUUUGUUAUCUUUACUUGGACUUGAGAUCUAUAUAUUGUAAAACAGUGAAUAUCUUGUACAUUAAUCCACAGUGAUGGAAGUGGACUCUUAAUCUUCCACACGGGAUUCCAGCAAAAUCUACUUUCAAAUAGUCUGUAUAGGCAUGUAGCCAAAGCAAAUAACGUUGGUGUUUAUAAGAUGGGUUGUAUAGUGUUGAUUAAUUGUUAGCCAUCAUAUUUUCAAUUUUUCUCUCCUUAUUAGGGCCUCCAUAUGUCAUCACUGCUCUUAAACAAGAGGCUGGUGACUUAAUUAGUAUCUCUACCAACAGUUGGUGUACAGAUCACAAUUAAAUUAAUUACUUGAUUAAAAUUCCACAUUAGGAUUUUGUACAAUGAAGCCACUCCUCUAGUAAAAUAUUUAGUCUACUAUUUUUUUGAGAGAGGAAAGCAAGUGGGAAAUGAUUCCUGGGACACCUGGAAUUAAUGGCAAAGUCAUUUUUCUUGCUCACCUGGAGUAAAUAGGGUAGAAAGUUAAUUGAUACAUAGAAGUAUAUGGAAGUUACAACACAAACAGGCUAUCUUCCUCAACCAAUCUAUCAAAGCAUUUAUCCUCUAUGCGAGCAAGUCCUAAUCACGUUUACUUGCCCUGUCCCCAUAUCCCUUUUCCUUUAUCCCCCUAUCUGUUCUAAUCUUAAAUGUUGGCAUGGUUUCUGCCUCAGCUAUUUAUCCUGGCAGUGAAUUCCAUAACCUCAACUCUCUUUAAAAGAGCUUUCAUUGCUAAAUGCCUUGGGUUUAAUUUGUAUCUAUGAUCUCUUGUUCUUGGGGUUUCUAUUAUUAGUGUGUGUUUCUACUGUCCCAUCCUAUCCUAAGUUAAAAUCUGUGGUGUUCUGAUGAAAAAGCCUCAGCUUUCCAGUGUUUCUUGUGUUGCAUUUGCUUAUACCAGGCAGCACCCUAGUGAAUCUGCUUUAUAUCCUCACCAAUCAUUAUCCUUGCAAUUGUUUGGAAGCCAAAAUUGCGCACAGUAUUCAACUGAACUUAUAAAGUUUUGUAUAGACUCUUCCUUAUUUCUUGGCUUUCACAUUCUAUAUCUUUUCUAAUAUUGCAGUUUCAUUAACUUUCCCUGUAACCUCAUCUACUAUAGGGGAUGUCUUAUAUCUCCUUUAAGUAUGUGCUCUCCAAAUCUCUGCUCUUUAACAGCAUCAUGCCACCUUUAUUUAGGAUGUAAUUCGUGUGAUUUUGUUUUGGACCAAAAUAUAUCACCACAAAUUUUAUCUGCAACUUAAGUGUGCUCCCUAUCUUGUCAGGAUUCCUUGCAGCUUUUCCUUUGUCUUAUAAAGAAUUGGUUGUAUCAUCUAUUUUGAUAUUUUCAAAUUGUCACAUAGCUCUUUCCAGCUCUGUAUCCAAAUUAUUGUUAAUAUUUUGAACAAAAGUGUCCUCAGAGCUCAACACUGUGCGACUGCAGUGCAUACUUUCAAUCACCCUGGAAUACUGCCCUUAACUCUUCCUUUCUGUUUUCUCCCUCCGAAUGUUGAAUUCAGUUUACUAUGCUCUCCCAUAAUCUUAUCUAAUCUGUGAUACUUUACUAAAGACUUUCCUAAAGUCCAUGGACACUACAUUUUUGUGUGCACUGAAUAAUAGUUUGCCAAUUUUGUUGGCUUUUGAUGAUUGCACAUAGGAAGUUGUAACCUUGUGGAUACAUAAAAGGUGAUACUUGCCUCUAAACCCUUGUAAUUGAAGCCCUUGCCUCACUGUAUUGUAAUAGUCAUUGCUAAGGGUGAUGUUUCAGACUUGCUGGAGUGCAAAUGCCAUCAGUCAGUGUUUGUGUAAUUAUAUUCACAGGUAGUGUCGUUUAUAUUCGGAGUAGGUUUUUUUUUAAAUCGCAAUUUCAAGGAAAUUUAAUGCGCUUCUAAAAGAAUACAGAAUAAUGAAGAAUAUUGACUCUUCAUUCCAUUCAUACUCUGAAAGGACCUAGCAGCUUCAGGGAAAGUGCUGGAUAGAUUUAAAGAAAUAGCAGAAUAAUGGCAUUUGCUAUUAAGAUUACCUCUGGCAUUGUAGCAUUUUUCCUCUUCAGAUCAACGUUUUAUAUUUAAAAUGUUGAACUUUUUGGGAUUUGAUUGCUGCCUGCAAACAUACCAUAUUCGACUGAUACUAUACCAAUUGUGAUUGUUUCCUCUGUAAUUUUUUUCACAUUUUUCAAUGAAACAAACUAUCCAAAGCCUUAUACAAUUUAGAAACUUAAAAUACAUCAUAGGAUGGCCCUACUUCUGCCCAUUUGCUAUAUUUUUGUUAGCAGAAUAUUUGUGCUUCAUUGUUGGAAUUCUCGUUUGUGUAUUUUUUUUUAGUUUCAACCUGCUAUACUUUUUUAUUGCAUCUUAGAAUGACUGAAUCAGCUUUAUGAUGUAUGGAAAAUGAUAUGUUUGUGUAACUUGAGUAAAAGAUUCAGCUGACACUGGAUACAGUUGAAAGCUAUGCAUUUUGACCUUCCUACUUAAAUCUGAUGGAAAACUCUGCAUAAAUGCUACCUGAUCCUCAAAUAUUAUUGAGUAAGAUUCUAGAAAAUUCAUCAACUCCACAUCACUCUUCAACCCUGGCUGGCUGCUCUCUAUGCACAAUAUCUACUCCUGCAGUAGGACAGAAUUAUUGUAUCCUGUGUUGUACCUGAUUAUCUCCAUAUAUAUCUGUAGGUGAUGGCUUCCCCUGUGACCACCAGCCUCAUUCCCAAUCAGACAUUUAACUAGCUCCUUUUUAAAGAAGUCUGAACCUGAGCAGAACUUGGUAAGAAUUUGUUCUACUUUUGCAUUACUUUUAUGCUGGGAAGGAGGAAGAGUUUAUUUUCUGUAGCUUCACUUUGAAGCUUUAUAAUUUGAAAUCUAUGGUCUCUUUCAGUUCUUUACUCAGUUUUGGGUCCAAUAGACUUACACACAAAUCAUUCUGAACAUUCCAGCACAUUAAUGUUCUUUUGAAAAUAUUGUGAGCAAAACUGCGCAUUUCCAAAUGGGAUCUCACUAAUGAUCUAUACAAGUAACUUUGCCAUUUUCCCAUAAACCAACAACAAAUCUUUAUCGUUCCCUACCUUUUAUUGUUUGCACAUUUACUGUUGCCUUGCAUUUAUUUCAUUAAGAACACUGAAAACGGUAAUUUGCAAUAACUUUGGUAACGCCAUUUUCUCUCAUUUUGCACAGAGCACAAUUGAAAGUAGAUAUGGAGUUCAGGAUUCUGUAUUUCAAUAUUUUGCUGUGUAAAGAUUAACUCUGAAUUGUUAGUUCAAUAAAAUCUUUUAUUUUAAAGUUUCUUCAGAAAUGGAUGAAGUAAUUUGGCUUCAAUACGAAGAUCAAUAUCAAAGAUUGAUUAAAUAUGCUAUAGUUUAAUAUAAUGUAUAGUCUUACACCAGCUAUGUGUCCACAAGGUUUGGAAAAAUGUCUCUACUUCAAAAAUCAUGAAAUUUCUCAGGUGUCAAUUAAAAGGCGGUUUAACUUUU